AUACGUAGGGGGCAAGCGUUAUCCGGAUUUACUGGGUGUAAAGGGAGCGUAGACGGAAUGGCAAGUCUGAUGUGAAAGGCCGGGGCUCAACCCCGGGACUGCAUUGGAAACUGUCAGGCUAGAGUGCAGGAGGGGUAAGCGGAAUUCCUAGUGUAGCGGUGAAAUGCGUAGAUAUUAGGAGGAACACCGGUGGCGAAGGCGGCUUACUGGACCGUAACUGACGUUGAGGCUCGAAAGCGUGGGGAGCAAACAGGGUUAGAUACCCUGGUAGCCCACGCCGUAAACGAUGAAUACUAGGUGUUGGGUUCCAAUAGGGAUUCGGUGCCGCAGCUAACGCAAUAAGUAUUCCACCUGGGGAGUACGUUCGCAAGAAUGAAACUCAAAUGAAUUGACGGGG
Molecule: ribosomal RNA, 397 nt
Filed under: uncultured bacterium
Lineage: Bacteria
Description: partial 16S ribosomal RNA
Rfam family: Bacterial small subunit ribosomal RNA
Source: RNAcentral